ACUAUCCGGAGUCCAUGUUUAGUAUUGGAAGAUCUUAUAAUAAACUGGUAUUUAGGGUGUAUAUUGUCCAGUAUCCAUGCUUAGUAUUGGAAGAUCAUAUGAUAAACAGGUAUUUAGGGUGUAUAUUGUCCAGAGUCCAUGCUUAGUAUUGGAAGAUCUUAUGAUAAACAGGUAUUUAGGGUGUAUAUUGUCCGGAGUACAUGCUUAGUAUUAGAAGAUCUUAUGAUAAACAAAUAUUUAGGGUGUAUAAUGUCCAGAGUCCAUGCUUAGGAUUGGAAGAUCUUAUGAUAAACAGGUAUUUAGGGUGUAUAUUGUCCGGAGUCCUUGAAGAUCAUAUGAUAAACAGUUAUUUAGGGUGUAUGUUGUCCGGAGUCCAUGCUUAAUAUUUGAAGAUCUUAUGAUAAACCGGUAUUUAGGGUGUAUAUUGUUCAAUAUCCAUGCUUAGUAUUGGAAGAUCUUAUGAUAAACAGAUAUUUAGGGUGUAUAUUGUCCAGAGUAAAUGCUUAAUAUUGAAAGAUCGUGUGAUAAACAGGUGUUUAGGGUGUAUAUUGUCCGUAGUCCUGGAAUAUUGUAUGAUAAACAGGUAUUUAGGGUGUAUGUUGUCCGGAGUCUAUGCUUAAUAUUGGAAGAUCUUAUGAUAAACCGGUAUUUAGGGUGUAUAUUGUCCACUGUCAAUGCUUAGUAGUGGAAGAUCUUAUGAUAAACAGGUAUUUAGGGUGUAUACUGUCCGGAGUACAUGCUUAGUAUUAGAAGAUCUUAUGAUAAACAAGUAUUUGGGGUGUAUUUUGUCCAGAGUCCAUGCUUAGUAUUGGAAGAUCUUAUCAUAAACAGGUGUUUUGGGUGGAUAUUGUCCGAAGUCCUGGAAGAUCAUGUGAUAAAUAGGUAUUUAGGGUAUAUAUUGUCCAUAGUCCAGGAAUACUGUAUGAUAAACAGGUAUUUAGGGUGUAUAUUGUCCAAUGUCAAUGCUUGGAAUUGUAAGAUCAUAUGAUAAACAAGUAUUUAUGGUAUAUACUGUCCACUGUCAAUGCUUAGUAGUGGAAGAUCA
Pelobates cultripes (western spadefoot toad) is the source of this 1045-nucleotide non-coding RNA. The record is from the annotation of a GenBank genome assembly. Lineage: Eukaryota; Metazoa; Chordata; Amphibia; Anura; Pelobatidae.